GAUGAAGAACGGUAGCGAAAUGCGAUAAGUAAUGUGAAUUGCAGAAUUCAGUGAAUCAUCGAAUCUUUGAACGCACAUUGCGCCCGCCAGUAUUCUGGCGGGCAUGCCUGUUCGAGCGUCAUUUCAACCAUCAAGCCCCAGGCUUGUGUUGGAGCCCUGCGGCUGCCGCAGCCUCCCAAAACCAGUGGCGGGCUCGCUAUCACACCGAGUGCAGUAGUUUACUCUUCGCUCAGGGCGUGUGGCGGGUGCUAGCCGUAAAACCCCCAACUUCUCAAGGUUGACCUCGGAUCAGGUAGGAAUACCCGCUGAACUUAAGCAUAUCAAUAAGCGGAGGA
RNAcentral lists this unclassified non-coding RNA (335 nucleotides) under soil metagenome. Its description in RNAcentral is "partial contains 5.8S ribosomal RNA, internal transcribed spacer 2, and large subunit ribosomal RNA". The stretch from base 1 to 121 matches the Rfam family "5.8S ribosomal RNA", at positions 35 to 154 of the family's 154-position model. The record is from RNAcentral.